AGAGUUUGAUCCUGGCUCAGAACGAACGCUGGCGGCACGUUUUAAGCAUGCAAGUCGGACGGCAGUGGGGGGCAACCCUCAUGAGAGUGGCGAACGGGUGAGUAACACGUAGGUGAUCUGCCUUGAGGCUGGGGAUAGCCUGUGGAAACACAGGGUAAUACCGAAUGUGCAGUCCUGACUUUGGUUGGGAUUGGAAAGGU
This 200-nucleotide ribosomal RNA is filed under the name uncultured bacterium. Its description in RNAcentral is "partial 16S ribosomal RNA". It matches the Rfam family "Bacterial small subunit ribosomal RNA", at positions 8 to 208 of the family's 1533-position model. The record is from RNAcentral.